AUGAAGAUUUCUUCAGCUGGUAUGCCCAGACAACACUCAGUUGAAUUUCUUACUGGAGAUGAGCUAGUAUUGGGUUGUCCUGUAGAGCCACAGUCAAUUUCCUCCUGGGAGUAUUUGCAAUAUAAGUUGCUGCAGCCGUGGACUCCAUCACUUCAAACAAAUUUCAAGAAUGAGGCCUUACAGGAAGAGAAAAUGGUGGGUUUCAUGGUGGCAUUAAUAGGACAGAUGCAUUGGCUUCUUUGGGACUACUUCUCAUUUGAUGAAAAUUUUAGUGUGCCACAUGUUGCCCAAAGAGUCCUGUGUGUCACAUCACCAUGGGGUCCCGGUGUUCACAAAAAUCCAAUGACGAAUCACAUGGGUUGGCUGGAACUUGAGAUAGCCGCCUUGAUGACUAUUGUGAAGGCUGAGUUCAUAAGUAGCGGCCUACAGAUUCAUCCCAGUGAGAAUGCUCAAGUAAAUUUCCCCUGGUCCAGUUGUUACUUAUUUCUUCAGGUUGGAAAGUUGCAGAAUGUUAUGGUGAAGCUCAACACUUGGCCCUCUGGAGGAUGGUUCUUAUCGGCUGUGACAUUCUCACCAAAUCUGCACGCAAUUGUGUGCUGCAACAAGGCAGUGAGCAUUCAAUCUCUCGUUGUUGCCCUUCAUAUGGCUGAAUGCUGUGGUGUGUUAAUCUCAGUUAUAGUCACUCACACCAUAUGGUUACACAAACUGGUAUUCCCUGAUGGUAGCCUGGUAUACACGCAAGUCAGAACUGGGAGCAUUUUAUUCAUUUGGACCUCUCAGGGAGCUCAUAAAGACAAGGGAUAUUUUUCUGUACAGCUGCCUUUGGUGGAUCAGGAGCUAUGGAGGAUUGCGGAAUAUUGGCGGUCAGAUAUUCAAGGUUUGCUGUUGGCCAAUACAAUUUUAGAAGAUUCUUUCUGGCCUGGGCAACAUAUCAUUGAAGCAUGCCUUGCGAGCCCUUAUCACAGGUUCAUGGGCGCAAUUGAUGUCGAGUGGCUCUACACCCAUAAUUCUUAUGGAGAACUUACAGUAGUUGACAACCAGCUGAAGAGUAAAGAGAUUGUCACAACUCGGCCAGUCGGUUCUGAUGAGUUUAAAUGUCUGGAGGCCUUGUCGAGUAUUCUACAUUGCACUGAUAACUAUUUGCGAGUAAUUAUGUUCGAUGAGAUUGAGCCGCAGCUUACUGUGCAUUGGAUGAAAUUUGUAGUUCAGGGCAAGACUAUUGCUGUAUCCAACAUCACCAAGUCCUCAAUGGUAUGUACUCCCGUCAAUCACCUAUGUUUGGAGGAAUAUCUAGUUUGUCCAAGUCACAACUUCUCUAUUGCACCUGAACUUACAUUAUGCAAGAGCGGAAAGUUGGAGUUUAACAACAGGAUUUCCUAUAUGGCGGAGCAGUACACUGAGGUUAAUUCUUAUAUGACGAAAAUUGGACUGCAUUCCUUGUUUGUGAGCAUCAGCGCAGUAGAGCGAACCUCUCAAAGGAAUAACCCCAUUCAUCAAAUGGUCGAGCAGCGAUUGUCAUUUCCUGCAAGUACCAAGCCAGCACACAUACAAGCUGCAGUUUGUGAGAAUCAAGGAGUGUACUCCUUAUUCUGCAAUUGCUCAUGUGGCAAUCCCAACACUAUUGCUAUUGGGGUUGAGUGCUCUGACAGGCAAGGAGUGUACCCCCACAGCAAAAUUAUUUUGGACUAUCAUAGUAGGCUUGGUUGUCUGAAUCUUGGGUUUCUGUCAACAUGGCCAGAUGUCUCAACGGUUCAAAUUAACGUGUUACCUUGCACUGAACUUAGCUCCUAG
This 1791-nucleotide ribosomal RNA is filed under the name Triticum aestivum (bread wheat). RNAcentral describes it as "partial small subunit ribosomal RNA". The record is from RNAcentral. Lineage: Eukaryota; Viridiplantae; Streptophyta; Magnoliopsida; Poales; Poaceae.